This 473-nucleotide unclassified non-coding RNA is filed under the name Hevea brasiliensis (rubber tree). The record is from RNAcentral. Lineage: Eukaryota; Viridiplantae; Streptophyta; Magnoliopsida; Malpighiales; Euphorbiaceae.
GGGUUUACAAUGUCUGAACUUUCAGAAACAAGUGCGAUGUCUAAAUCCACGUCAACUUCCGACGAAAUUGAGCAAGGGAACUGCUCCGUUGAUGGCAAAAUAACUGCAUGUGGAGAGUCAAUUUUUCCUGCAACAAAAAUUUCAUCAUUAAUUCCAUCUGCAUAAUCUGUCUGAAGCACUUCUUUCACAAAGCCAUCAGAGUCUUUCUUUUCCAGAUCUGCCACAUUUGAAGUAUGUAAACCCAUAUUGGGAUCUUCAUGAUCUGAAUCUUCCACAAGACAACCUUGAGAAGAAACUGUAGGUAAAUUAUUAUGCGCUGCAUGUGAAGGAACAUCAGAUACAACUAUGGAAGAAUCAGAUAAACCUGUCCCAUUUUCGUCAAUGUUUGGUGACUUUGGACCAAGUUUACAGUCGCAGGAUAUUUCUUCUGAUUCAGUUUCUACGACAAUUGAAUUUGCAACAGGAACUGAAGG